AUUGAACGCUGGCGGCAGGCUUAACACAUGCAAGUCGAGCGAGCGGCGGACGGGUGAGUAAUGUCUGGGAAACUGCCUGAUGGAGGGGGAUAACUACUGGAAACGGUAGCUAAUCCCGCAUACCAUACGAUGUGCCCAGAUGGGAUUAGCUAGUCGGUGGGGUAACGGCUCACCUAGGCGACGCGCCCUAGCUGGUCUGAGCGGAUGAUCAGUCACACUGGAACUGAGACACGGUCCAGACUCCUACGGGAGGCAGCAGUGGGGAAUAUUGGACAAUGGUCGAAAGCCUGAUCCAGCCAUGCCUCGUGUGUGAAGAAGGUCUUCGGAUUGUAAAGCACUUUAAGUUGGGAGGCGUUACCAACAGAAUAAGCACCGGCUAACUUCGUGCCAGCAGCCGCGGUAAUUC
This 406-nucleotide ribosomal RNA is filed under the name uncultured bacterium. RNAcentral's name for it is "partial 16S ribosomal RNA". It matches the Rfam family "Bacterial small subunit ribosomal RNA", at positions 30 to 526 of the family's 1533-position model. The record is from RNAcentral.